Molecule: ribosomal RNA, 120 nt
Filed under: Castor canadensis (American beaver)
Lineage: Eukaryota; Metazoa; Chordata; Mammalia; Rodentia; Castoridae
Source: RNAcentral
GCCUAUGGCCUUAACACCCUAAAUGUGCCCAAUCUCAUCUGGUCUCAGAAGCUAGGCAGGGUUGGGCUUGAUUAGUUCUUGAAUGGGAGACAAAUCUUCAAAAGAGAUUGCUCAGAGACA